RNAcentral lists this long non-coding RNA (1777 nucleotides) under Homo sapiens (human). Its description in RNAcentral is "HSALNT0249808". Lineage: Eukaryota; Metazoa; Chordata; Mammalia; Primates; Hominidae. The record is from RNAcentral.
CAGGGUUUCACCAUGUUGCCCAGGCUAGUCUGGAACUCCUAGCCUCAGGUGAUCCACCCACCUCGGCCUCCCAAAGUGUUGGGAUUACACAUGUGAACCACUGCGCUGGGCCUUAUUAGUUUUCUUGAACAAUUUGGGGAUGAAUAAUUACCUAGCUUUUCCUUUUUAGUUAUUUGCUAGAUGUAAAUAAGGGUUAAUGCAGGUUUUUCUCAGCAUGGCCAUCAUACAAUUUUGGGAAUCCGCUAAGAAAUGCAAUUGCAAAUUUUCAAAAAGUGAAAGGAACUUGGAUCCCUAAAUCAAUACUUGGAGGAGAGCUGCCUACUAAUCAGGAACUCCCAUUUUGGGGUUUAAGUCAUUGUUCUAUGUAGGUUUAAUUUUGUAACAGCUGGGAUUAUUGUAUUUAAUUUCUGCACCAUAGACCACUUUUCUUCUAGGGUUUUUUUUUCUUUUUUUCUUUCUCUUUGUUUUGGUCUCUAACAUUUAUGUUAAAGGAUCUACUCAAAUAUCUGGUUAUACUUGAUUGUCUGCUCGUGUUUAAAAGUGGGGGUCUAAAUAGCUGAUCUGUAGUCUCAGCAUAUGAGUGGAGCUGAUUGAACAUGAGCUUUACUUUAGGGUGCUCUGCUUGGGCCCACGUCAGUAUGUUUAAGGCUUUUCUUUUGGAUUGGUCAGAUGCCCCAAAGAAGGCUCUUUCAUCUCUGAUCUGAAGGUAAAGGUCUGACUGCCAGUGUUCUGUGUGUUGAGUGGAGAAAUUUGGCUGGAGGGUCUCAGAAUUUACGACGUACAGGAUUACAAAAUCCCCGUGUGUCUGUAUGAUACUCAUCCUUCAGUUAGGCCUGGUAUCCUCUAGAGUAGACCAGACCCCCUCUAUCUUGCCCUCUCUGUAGUAUGAACCUCUUGUUUUCACCAGAGUGGGAGGACAGUCACCCAGUGGGGUGAAGCAGAGAAGAGGAUCUAGGAUCUGUUUCCUCAGAAGCUUUCAACAAAUCCUGUUGUCUGUCCCAUUUUCAGAGGUACCUGGUGCCAGUUCCUGAGACUUGAGGAUUCUGGUUGGUUCUCAGCACAGGAGUCAGCCUGCUCUGAUUUGCUAGUGCGUCUAGAGUGUUGACAGUUGUUUCCAUGGACUUCAAAUCAACCCAACCCUGUGAGCACAGACUUUCAGCACCAGAGUCAGAUUUCCCAAAAAUGCUAUUCUUGAAGCGUAGAGCCAGACUCACAGAUCCUGUAAAGAAAACAGAUCUUUCAGCAAGUGAAACACCCAAUCUUCCAUUGCAUGGGACUCACAGAGGUUCUGAGGGAGAGAUGUGAAUAGAAGGAGUGAUCAUCACUGUGGACUCUAUUUCUUCCAUCUGUGCGUGCAAGAUUUAUAUCUGUAUGUGUUUGUUUUAAAGUUUUAUUGAGGUAUAAUUGAUACACAAUAAUCUGUACCUAUUUAAUGUAUACAAUUUGAUGAGUUUGGACAUACUUAAAUACCUGUGAAACCAUCACCACAAUCAAGGUAAUAGACAUAGCCAUCACCUCCAAAAGUUUCUUUGUGUCCCUUUGUGGUUUGUUUCUGAGAUAAGAACACUUAACAUGUGGACUCUUGACACUCUCCUUGGAUCUCUUAAUUUGAUUGCUGUUGCUGUCACCACAUUGACUUCCUAGCCCUGCUGAUCCUCCUUUAUCACUAGCUCUAGAAAAAAAAACAAACCAAACACCACUAAUUCAUUUAUUCAGUAAUUCAACAAAAAAACCAUUGAGCACUUAAUAUUUGCAGAAUACAUGGCUAGAUGCAGAG